CACCUACUCACUCCGUUCGAAAAUACUUGUCAUCAAAAUGGAUAAAAAAAUAUGUAUCUGAAAUUAAAAUACGUCUAGAUACAUAUUUUUUUAUUCAUUUUAGUGACAAGUAUUUCCGGACGGAGGGAGUAUAUA
Non-coding RNA from Triticum urartu, 135 nucleotides. The record is from Rfam. Lineage: Eukaryota; Viridiplantae; Streptophyta; Magnoliopsida; Poales; Poaceae.